GAAUCUGCCUAGAGGUCGGGGACAACCAUUGGAAACGAUGGCUAAUACCGGAUAUGCCUUACGGGGUGAAAGAUUAAUUGCCUUUAGAAGAGCUCGCGUCUGAUUAGCUAGUUGGUGAGGUAAGAGCUCACCAAGGCAGCGAUCAGUAGCUGGUCUGAGAGGAUGACCAGCCACACUGGGACUGAGACACGGCCCAGACUCCUACGGGAGGCAGCAGUGGGGAAUUUUCCGCAAUGGGCGAAAGCCUGACGGAGCAAGACCGCGUGAGGGAGGAAGGCUCUUGGGUUGUAAACCUCUUUUGUCAGGGAAGAACAAAAUGACGGUACCUGACGAAUCAGCAUCGGCUAACUCCGUGCCAGCAGCCGCGGUAAUACGGAGGAUGCAAGCGUUAUCCGGAAUUAUUGGGCGUAAAGCGUCCGCAGGUGGCUGAUCAAGUCUGCGGUCAAAGACCGGGGCUUAACCCUGGAAAGGCCGUGGAAACUGAUAGAGCUAGAGUACCGUAGGGGUAGAGGGAAUUCCCGGUGUAGCGGUGAAAUGCGUAGAGAUCGGGAAGAACAUCGGUGGCGAAAGCGCUCUACUGGACGGUGACUGACACUCAGGGACGAAAGCUAGGGGAGCGAAUGGGAUUAGAUACCCCAGUAGUCCUAGCCGUA
Molecule: ribosomal RNA, 653 nt
Filed under: uncultured cyanobacterium
Lineage: Bacteria; Bacillati; Cyanobacteriota
Description: bacterial SSU rRNA
Rfam family: Bacterial small subunit ribosomal RNA
Source: RNAcentral